UCUUGUUUGCUUGGGGUCGCUUUUUUUUGAUGAGCCUUAAAUUUUCAAGGAACCCAAAAGCACCUGCCUUCUGUAAAAAAUUCAGCAAGCUCCUUUCCUGUCUCCGUUGAUAGUGCAGCUUGGUCUGGACCUCAUUGGAUUAAAGGUCCUAGGAAGUUACCCCCUUAUUUUAAGAGAAAUGCUAAUAGUUUGAGCAGAGUUAGCUCUAUUUAUACCCUGCCUCUGUUAACAAGUCAGAAAAAGUAAACUUGAUUUCUUUGACAGGCACACGCUUCCUAUGUCCUGGUGGCAGUCAGACAGAUUUGUUGCAAGAAAAAAAAGCUGGAAAGAGUUUAAAAGGCUGGAACUGGCACGGUGGGACCCCUGCAUGUUUCUGAAUGCAGGGAGGCCUUCUUAACCCCUUUAGACCUAAAGUACUUCCCUAUGCUAAGAAUGGCAUUUACUUCUGAAAGAGUACUUGUCUAAAUAACACGGACCCGCAAUCAGGGGAUUUCCCCACAGCAAGGGGCUACACAAUCACUGCUAAAAGGAACAAGUAAUAGGAUUGAAGCAAUUAAAGCUAGAAUAUCAUAUUUUAACAGAGGAAGUAGGGGAAAAAAAAUAACUUAUUUAAACUCAGGAUCUGCAAAGCAAUAUGUCUUCACUAAUUUCCCCAGGGCUCCUCCAAGCUUUCUACUCCUCUUUGCUGCUGCGAUUUGCAGGAUGCUGUUUUUAAUGCUGCCCUCCAACCCACCAGCAAGACAUUAAAAGUGUCCCCGAAUUCCUCCACAUUUCCUGAAAGCAAGAUCCUGUUGUACACUGCUUUGCUGACCUCUUUAACAGCGACAACAAAAAAAUAGUAGAAGUUCAACUCUAUGGAAACCUGCAUAAAGGAAUGUACAGCAUUUUUGCAUUGGGGGGAAAAAAAGUUUGCUCCAGCUGAGUUCCUCGCUCCCUGAUUAUUACAGUAAGGGGCUGAUCCUGUUAGUGCUGAACAUUUGCCAAAAUCCAGAGACAAGUGAUAGAAGUCAACGUUGCUCAGCACCGUGCAGGAUUCGAGCCCUUGGGCUGGAUUCUGGGCUGUUGGAACGGAUCCUGCACGAGGCUGCGUGCGUCCAGGUUGAGGCUCACGUCCCCGCCAUGGGGACCAGAGUGUGGCCGUCCAUGAAGAACCAGACGCUGGCUUUCGGAGGCCAGAUGGAGCGGUCACCUGCUUUGCUACGGCCACCUCUGCCCGGCCCAGGGGCGUAUCCUCUGGGGACAGCAUGAAGAGUCUGCCUACAGACUACAUGGCAGCAGUGUUCAAGGAGAUGCAGCAUUUUCUUUUCCAUGGCAGUUUUGAAGAUAACCAGUCCUUGAAAGCCUGAUGUGAGCACGGCCAGCAGAGCUAUUGUAGGUAAUGGUUGAGAUUCAUGCAGUUUAAUCAUUAU
Long non-coding RNA from Struthio camelus australis, 1409 nucleotides. The record is from Ensembl. NCBI's taxonomy places the organism in Eukaryota, Metazoa, Chordata, Aves, Struthioniformes, Struthionidae.